RNAcentral lists this ribosomal RNA (253 nucleotides) under uncultured bacterium. RNAcentral's name for it is "partial 16S ribosomal RNA". It matches the Rfam family "Bacterial small subunit ribosomal RNA", at positions 524 to 776 of the family's 1533-position model. The record is from RNAcentral.
UACGUAGGGUGCAAGCGUUAUCCGGAUUCACUGGGUUUAAAGGGUGCGUAGGUGGGAAUGUAAGUCAGUGGUGAAAUCUCCGUGCUUAACACGGAAACUGCCAUUGAUACUAUGUUUCUUGAAUUUUCUGGAGGUUAGCGGAAUAUGUCAUGUAGCGGUGAAAUGCUUAGAUAUGACAUAGAACACCGAUUGCGAAGGCAGCUAACUACAGGGAUAUUGACACUGAGGCACGAAAGCGUGGGGAUCAAACAGG